Molecule: ribosomal RNA, 460 nt
Filed under: uncultured bacterium
Lineage: Bacteria
Description: partial 16S ribosomal RNA
Rfam family: Bacterial small subunit ribosomal RNA
Source: RNAcentral
CCUACGGGAGGCAGCAGUGAGGAAUAUUUGUCAAUGGCCGGAAGGCUGAACCAGCCAUGCCGCGUGAAGGUCAGUGCCCUAUGGGCGUUAAACUUCUUUUGUGCGGGAGCAAUAAUGGUCACGUGUGGCCAGACGAGAGUGCCGUACGAAUAAGCAUCGGCUAACUCCGUGCCAGCAGCCGCGGUAAUACGGGGGAUGCAAGCGUUAUCCGGAUUUAUUGGGUUUAAAGGGUGCGUAGGCUGGGAGGUAAGUCAGCGGUGAAAUGCCCCCGCUCAACGGGGUGAAGUGCCAUUGAUACUGCCUGGCUGGAAUGCGGAUGCGGUGGGAGGAAUGUGUGGUGUAGCGGUGAAAUGCAUAGAUAUCACACAGAACACCGAUUGCGAAGGCAUCUCACGAAUCCGCGAUUGACGCUGAUGCACGAAAGCGUGGGUAUCAAACAGGAUUAGAUACCCUUGUAGUC